This 262-nucleotide unclassified non-coding RNA is filed under the name Melitaea cinxia (Glanville fritillary). RNAcentral describes it as "misc RNA ENSMCXG00005007381.1". The record is from RNAcentral. Lineage: Eukaryota; Metazoa; Arthropoda; Insecta; Lepidoptera; Nymphalidae.
UUUUUAAAAAAUCUCGAAUUAAACGCAAAAAAUGAAAACAAUAAAUUGACUACAAUUGGUGACCUUAUCUUUAAAUUGUACCAUAUUAAUAUUUUCCGGGUAAAGUUUGAAUGAAACAAUGCGCUGCACUUUGUGUAAAUAGAAAAUAAACAUUUAUUUCUCCUUUAUUGAUACGGUCAAUUUACCUACAAUCAAUUCGUUUUGGGUGGAAUUUAAAAAUAAUAAUACCUGUCUACCUAUAAUGAUUUUUGUAAUAAUAUAG